RNAcentral lists this transfer RNA (84 nucleotides) under Danio rerio (zebrafish). RNAcentral describes it as "tRNA-Met (CAT) (tRNA-Met-CAT-118-1, tRNA-Met-CAT-118-2)". It matches the Rfam family "tRNA". Rfam says of the family: Transfer RNA (tRNA) molecules are approximately 80 nucleotides in length. Their secondary structure includes four short double-helical elements and three loops (D, anti-codon, and T loops). The record is from RNAcentral. Lineage: Eukaryota; Metazoa; Chordata; Actinopteri; Cypriniformes; Danionidae.
GUCAGAAUGGCCGAGUGGUCUAAGGUACCAGACUCAUGUUCUGGUCUCCAGCUGGAGGCGUGGGUUCAAAUCCCACUUCUGACA